CGUAAGCGUUGCCUUCCUCGUCGGUGCGGCUGCGGGGCGCCCACGUCAUCUUGUUCUCCUUCUUGAGGCGCCGGCGCGCGUUGGCGAACCAGGUGGACACCUGGAACCGAAGUCCCCUGGCUGCAGGGCGGCCGGCGAUCUCUCCGCUUCCUGCAGACGCCGCGGCGCACGCUCCCACCGCUCCCUCCCCCCGCGCUCGGGUUACAGCAGCCGUGCGGACGCCGGAGUGCGUGGCCUGGCGUCAGCACCGGGAGGGAUUUGCAUCAGGCCGGAAUCCGGACCCCGGGGAUCCCAGGAGGCGCGGGCCGACUGUCUGCAGAGCCGCCCCGGAACGGGCUGCGGCGCCCCACCGGUCGCCAGGGCCUCGAGGCCGGUCCCUGGGUCCCGAGAAGCCUUGGGGAAACUUUGGGAGAAACUUUGCCAACUUUGCUGUCGGCGGGGAAGAGGCCGCCCGGCCGGCCGCUGCAGCUGCGGGCCGCGACGCUCGCGGUGGGCCCCGAGUUGGGCCCGGGCACCCGGGAGCCGGCCGGGCCGCCCCAGGAAGGGCGCGAGGCCGGCCGACGGCCCCUGGCUCCCCGCCGCGCCCUCGCGCGGCCCCCACCCCCACCCCCGCGCCCCGGGGGCUCUGAGCGGCCCGCGGCUCGCC
Zalophus californianus (California sea lion) is the source of this 646-nucleotide long non-coding RNA. RefSeq lists it as uncharacterized. Lineage: Eukaryota; Metazoa; Chordata; Mammalia; Carnivora; Otariidae. The record is from RefSeq and is a predicted model, not a curated record. The transcript is spliced from 3 exons.